RNAcentral lists this ribosomal RNA (288 nucleotides) under uncultured bacterium. Its description in RNAcentral is "partial 16S ribosomal RNA". It matches the Rfam family "Bacterial small subunit ribosomal RNA", at positions 334 to 637 of the family's 1533-position model. The record is from RNAcentral.
UUGCCCUACGGGACGCAGCAGUGGGGAAUAUUGGGCAAUGGACGCAAGUCUGACCCAGCAACGCCGCGUGAAGGAAGAAGGCUUUCGGGUUGUAAACUUCUUUUAAGGGGGAAGAGUAGAAGACGGUACCCCUUGAAUAAGCCACGGCUAACUACGUGCCAGCAGCCGCGGUAAUACGUAGGUGGCAAGCGUUGUCCGGAUUUACUGGGUGUAAAGAGCGUGCAGCCGGAGAGACAAGUCAGAUGUGAAAUCCACGUGCUCAACCCGUGAACUGCAUUUGAAACUGUU